UACGUAGGGCGCAAGCGUUGUCCGGAAUUAUUGGGCGUAAAGAGCUCGUAGGCGGCUUGUCACGUCGGGUGUGAAAGCCCGGGGCUUAACCCCGGGUCUGCAUUCGAUACGGGCAGGCUAGAGUGUGGUAGGGGAGAUCGGAAUUCCUGGUGUAGCGGUGAAAUGCGCAGAUAUCAGGAGGAACACCGGUGGCGAAGGCGGAUCUCUGGGCCAUUACUGACGCUGAGGAGCGAAAGCGUGGGGAGCAAACAGG
RNAcentral lists this ribosomal RNA (253 nucleotides) under uncultured bacterium. Its description in RNAcentral is "partial 16S ribosomal RNA". It matches the Rfam family "Bacterial small subunit ribosomal RNA", at positions 524 to 776 of the family's 1533-position model. The record is from RNAcentral.